AACGAACGCUGGCGGCAUGCCUAACACAUGCAAGUCGAACGAGACCUUCGGGUCUAGUGGCGCACGGGUGCGUAACGCGUGGGAACCUGCCCUUAGGUUCGGAAUAACUCCCCGAAAGGGGUGCUAAUACCGGAUAAUGUCUUCGGACCAAAGAUUUAUCGCCUUUGGAUGGGCCCGCGUUGGAUUAGCUAGUUGGUAGGGUAAAAGCCUACCAAGGCGACGAUCCAUAGCUGGUCUGAGAGGAUGAUCAGCCACACUGGGACUGAGACACGGCCCAGACUCCUACGGGGGGCAGCAGUGGGGAAAUUUGGACAAGGGGCGAAAGCCUGACCCAGCAAUGCCGGGUGAGGGAUGAAGGCCUUAGGGUUGAAAAGCUUUUUUACCCGGGAUGAUAAGGACAGUACCGGGAAAAUAAGCCCCGGCAAACUCCGU
RNAcentral lists this ribosomal RNA (432 nucleotides) under uncultured bacterium. RNAcentral's name for it is "partial 16S ribosomal RNA". It matches the Rfam family "Bacterial small subunit ribosomal RNA", at positions 29 to 506 of the family's 1533-position model. The record is from RNAcentral.